GACGAACGCUGGCGGCGUGCUUAACACAUGCAAGUCGAACGGAAAGGCCCUGCUUUUGUGGGGUGCUCGAGUGGCGAACGGGUGAGUAACACGUGAGUAACCUCCCCUUGACUGUGGGGUAACUUCAGGGAACUGGGGCUAAUACCGGAUAGGAGCUCCUGAUGCAUGGUGGUGGUUGGAAAGUUUCGGCGGUAGUGGAUGGACUCGCGGCUUAUCAGCUUGUUGGUGGGGUAGUGGCUUACCAAGGCUUUGACGGGUAGCCGGCCUGAGAGGGUGAACGGCCACAAUGGGACUGAGGUACGGCGCAGAAUGCUACGGGAGGCAGCAGGGGGGAAUAUUGCACAAUAGGCGGAAGCCUGAUGCAGCAACGCCGCGUGCGGGAUGACGGCUUUCGGGUUAUAAACCGAUUUCGCAUGUGACGAAGCGUGAGUGACGGUAAUGGGUAAAGAAGCACCGGCUAACUACGUG
This 468-nucleotide ribosomal RNA is filed under the name uncultured bacterium. RNAcentral's name for it is "partial 16S ribosomal RNA". It matches the Rfam family "Bacterial small subunit ribosomal RNA", at positions 28 to 507 of the family's 1533-position model. The record is from RNAcentral.